RNAcentral lists this ribosomal RNA (471 nucleotides) under uncultured bacterium. RNAcentral's name for it is "partial 16S ribosomal RNA". It matches the Rfam family "Bacterial small subunit ribosomal RNA", at positions 28 to 507 of the family's 1533-position model. The record is from RNAcentral.
GACGAACGCUGGCGGCGUGCUUAACACAUGCAAGUCGAACGAUGAAGCCUAGCUUGCUAGGUGGAUUAGUGGCGAACGGGUGAGUAAUACGUGAGUAACCUACCUUUAACUCUGGGAUAAGCCCGGGAAACUGGGUCUAAUACCGGAUACGACCAAUCUCCGCAUGGGGUGUUGGUGGAAAGCGUUAUGUAGUGGUUAUAGAUGGGCUCACGGCCUAUCAGCUUGUUGGUGAGGUAACGGCUCACCAAGGCGACGACGGGUAGCCGGCCUGAGAGGGUGACCGGCCACACUGGGACUGAGACACGGCCCAGACUCCUACGGGAGGCAGCAGUGGGGAAUAUUGCACAAUGGGCGCAAGCCUGAUGCAGCGACGCCGCGUGAGGGAUGACGGCCUUCGGGUUGUAAACCUCUGUUGGCAGGGAAGAAGAGAGAUUGACGGUACCUGCAGAGAAAGCGCCGGCUAACUACGUG